UUAAUUGAAGAGUUUGAUCAUGGCUCAGAUUGAACGCUGGCGGCAGGCCUAACACAUGCAAGUCGAACGGUAACAGAGAGCAGCUUGCUGCUCUGCUGACGAGUGGCGGACGGGUGAGUAAUGUCUGGGAAACUGCCUGAUGGAGGGGGAUAACUACUGGAAACGGUAGCUAAUACCGCAUAACGUCUUCGGACCAAAGUGGGGGACCUUCGGGCCUCAUGCCAUCAGAUGUGCCCAGAUGGGAUUAGCUAGUAGGUGGGGUAAAGGCUCACCUAGGCGACGAUCCCUAGCUGGUCUGAGAGGAUGACCAGCCACACUGGAACUGAGACACGGUCCAGACUCCUACGGGAGGCAGCAGUGGGGAAUAUUGCACAAUGGGCGCAAGCCUGAUGCAGCCAUGCCGCGUGUAUGAAGAAGGCCUUCGGGUUGUAAAGUACUUUCAGCGAGGAGGAAGGG
Molecule: ribosomal RNA, 456 nt
Filed under: Cronobacter turicensis
Lineage: Bacteria; Pseudomonadati; Pseudomonadota; Gammaproteobacteria; Enterobacterales; Enterobacteriaceae
Description: bacterial SSU rRNA
Rfam family: Bacterial small subunit ribosomal RNA
Source: RNAcentral